GGGUAAUGACUGUCUGAGGGAUGUUAAUUGAAAAUUAUUAAGUUGGUGCAAAUGCCAACAGGAUUAAAAAAGACGAGAAGACCCUAGAAACUUAUAGUUGAUUUUGCUGGGGCGGCAGAAUUGCAUAUAACCAAUUUUAAUUUACGUGAAGCGACGCAGAAAGAAAAAGUUACUCUAGGGAUAACAGCAUAAUUUUAAUAGUUUGUGACCUCGAUGUUGGACUAGGGAUGUUACCUUCUAGAAGAAGGUAAUUAUGGCUCUGUUCGAGCCCUUAGCCCCUACGUGAUCUGAGUUCAAACCGGACG
This 305-nucleotide ribosomal RNA is filed under the name Codringtonia helenae. RNAcentral describes it as "partial large subunit ribosomal RNA". It matches the Rfam family "Bacterial large subunit ribosomal RNA", at positions 1999 to 2621 of the family's 2925-position model. Lineage: Eukaryota; Metazoa; Mollusca; Gastropoda; Stylommatophora; Helicidae. The record is from RNAcentral.